Molecule: ribosomal RNA, 454 nt
Filed under: uncultured bacterium
Lineage: Bacteria
Description: bacterial SSU rRNA
Rfam family: Bacterial small subunit ribosomal RNA
Source: RNAcentral
GACGAACGCUGGCGGCGUGCUUAACACAUGCAAGUCGAGCGGUAAGGCCCUUCGGGGUACACGAGCGGCGAACGGGUGAGUAACACGUGGGUGACCUGCCUCUAGCUCUGGGAUAAGCCUGGGAAACUGGGUCUAAUACCGGAUAUGACUCCACGGCGCAUGUUGUGGGGUGGAAAGCCUUGUGUGGCUAGAGAUGGGCCCGCGGCCUAUCAGCUUGUUGGUGGGGUGAUGGCCUACCAAGGCGACGACGGGUAGCCGGCCUGAGAGGGCGACCGGCCACACUGGGACUGAGACACGGCCCAGACUCCUACGGGAGGCAGCAGUGGGGAAUCUUGCGCAAUGGGCGAAAGCCUGACGCAGCGACGCCGCGUGGGGAUGAAGGUCUUCGGAUUGUAAACCCCUUUCGGGAGGGAAGAUGGAACGAGCAAUCGUUCGGACGGUACCUCCAGAAGCA